UGGGGAAUAUUGGACAAUGGGGGCAACCCUGAUCCAGCAAUGCCGCGUGUGUGAAGAAGGUCUUCGGAUUGUAAAGCACUUUCGACGGGGACGAUGAUGACGGUACCCGUGGAAGAAGCCCCGGCUAACUUCGUGCCAGCAGCCGCGGUAAUACGAAGGGGGCUAGCGUUGCUCGGAAUGACUGGGCGUAAAGGGCGUGUAGGCGGUUUACACAGUCAGAUGUGAAAUCCCCGGGCUUAACCUGGGAGCUGCAUUUGAUACGUGUAGACUAGAGUGUGAGAGAGGGUUGUGGAAUUCCCAGUGUAGAGGUGAAAUUCGUAGAUAUUGGGAAGAACACCGGUGGCGAAGGCGGCAACCUGGCUCAUGACUGACGCUGAGGCGCGAAAGCGUGGGGAGCAAACAGGAUUAGAUACCCUGGUAGUCCACGCUGUAAACGAUGUGUGCUAGAUGUUGGGUAACUUUGUUAUUCAGUGUCGCAGUUAACGCGUUAAGCACACCGCCUGGGGAGUACGGCCGCAAGGUUGAAAAC
Molecule: ribosomal RNA, 529 nt
Filed under: uncultured bacterium
Lineage: Bacteria
Description: partial 16S ribosomal RNA
Rfam family: Bacterial small subunit ribosomal RNA
Source: RNAcentral